ACUACCACUUGCUUUUGGAUGAGUCCACGAAGUUAGAAUGGAAUUGUUCUCUUUUUUGAAAGUGGCUUUCCAUAUCAGUAGAGCAUUUGCUUCUGCAAAAGAAGCAGAAGCAGGUUUAAGACAAACAAAGAAGAGAAAAGGUAGGAACAAGAAAAAUGUAAAAAUGGGGUACUUCAACAUGUUUAGUAAACUGGGAUUUAGUCUGUGUUUGGAUUAUUUUAGAUGCUAUGAAACUGUAAUUUAUAGAUGCAAGUAAUGGGGUAGAAUUUCAAGUCCACUCCCUAAGUCCAUUCUUGCUGGAAGACAGCAUUCUAUUACCAAAGACUUUUGGAGUGUUAAGAACCUCUGAAGUCAUUGUCUGUCUUCAAUGAGCAGAGAAAAAAAAUGCAAAUCCAGGUCUUUAUCGGUUAUUUUUGUCAAAAUUGGCAGCAACUCAUUUAUUUCGUCUAAAACAAUGAAAAAGAAAGUUAGCUACUUCAUAUUGUUUAUAGUUCUCACCAUUAGGGUCAUUAGAUGUUCCUGCAACCUCAAAACGUAACAGAACCUCAGCCAAAUAAUUAUCACCAAUUUAUUUAUUUAUUUUUAACUCGAGAUUUCUUUGGAGGAGAUUGAAUUCCAAGUUUGGUCAUAAUAUCAUUUUCUACAUGACAGGAAAAAGAAAAAGAAGCUGUUUUUGAGCCCCUGUUUGGACUCCAUUAAAAUGACGGUAGUUUUUUGUAGAGAAAAACUCCGUACAUCUAUACAGGGCAAUCAAACAAGAAGGAAAAAGUUAUUUAAAAUACCCCGAAAAAUCCUUAUAAAAAGAAAGCUAUCGUACAUCCCGUGAAAGUGGCAAUCGGCAAGCGAGGGUCACUUGUGGGAAACGGAAUAGAGGAUGACUGAAUCAUACUGCAAUUUCAUCCCUACAAGAGGCAAUCAAACAGGAAAUGAACAAAGCACUUCAACAGUUACCAAACCAUUCAUCAAAACCAGCAGCAUCAGUUUCUAUAUCUACGAGCAAGAAGAGCUAUCACUUCCCAGCUACAGCCACGACCUCAUGUGCUGUAACAUAAUGCAACCGACAUCAGCUUAUUGCUACGCAUCCUAUUGCAAAGGCUAGAUCACUACUGUUGAAUGUUAACAAAUCAUCAAAUAUAAAUCAAGUCUCAUUUCCUUUGUAUUUUAAUCGGAGAUCUAAAUAGCAAUUUAAUCAAGUAAAAGAUGGAUUUUUCUUCCUAACCAAUUAAGUACACGUGUGAUUGGACUAUUUUAAAUAAUGGAACGUUUUCUUCUCUUUUUAAAAGGCGCAAUUUUUAAAUCAACGUACGUUUAUUACAAUUUACCAUAUUCGCGAAUGACAGCUGAACCUUGUGCAUUUACCUUUGGUCUCUUGGAAUGAAAAACGUAAACAAAUUUUCCAUAUUGAAUAUGGAAACAAGUCAUCAGCAGUUGUACCUAAAAAUAAGCCAACAAAAACCAAAUAAAAAAUUAAACGUCUCCUUCAAUUAGCAACAAAAAUUCACACAAUGGGUGAAAUAAGGGUAAAGGGGAGAUGUACUUACGGAAAAACAUGUCUCCUUCAAUUACUGUUUUGGACUUUUGGCCAUUGCAGGAAACCAUGUUCAGACUAUAAAAUGAAGGAAAUAACUGCCAGUGGCAUAGUCAGAUCCAAGGGAGAAAAUGGAGCAUCAGAAUCUGAGGAUACUGAGCAGAACUCGGCGAACAAACAGGAUUAUGAACGUACCAGGUAUUUGUUUAAUAUUCUCCGGUUAACCUUAAUUUUAUUAUACAAUUCCAUAUUAUGAGUUUGGAACAUUUAUUACCUACCUUAUGAUGGGUUGAAUUGUUAUUACUUAUUAGCAAGCAUUCGCGGGAAUCAGUCACAAUUCUUUUGGUGAAUAAGAAAUAGUUUCUCCCAAGAAGCCAACUAGUCUGACUAAGUGGCAAAGCAGCGGGAGUUAAGUGGAAAUCUGGAAAGUGAGUCUGAGGCAAUGUUGAAGAAACAAAUUUCCGACAGCAAGAGGAAGGAGCUCGGUGGACAUGAUAUUUUUGCCCUACGACCUGAAAUUCAAUCACUCACCUUGUCUGCUUGCGCUUUAGAUUCCCUGACUUUUAAUAAACAAUUCUUAUUUCUUCUUAACAUAGAUUAGGUCGAAAAUAUAUUGAAUGUUAAAAUUCUAAUAAAAAAAAAAAAUUGUUUAUUUUUUUUAUUUUUUAUUUUUUUUAAACUUGCGGAGCUCCCUUGUUUUUGUAAAUAAUUUUAAAACUUCAAAAAUAAGUUAGAAAUUUAUCGGAGGAAAAAUAGUACAACAAACAACUUUUAAAUAAAAUAAUUUUUGAAAUCAGAAUUUACAUUUCAGUAUUAAAAAAUUCACACAAUGGGUGAAAUAAGGGUAAAGGGGAGAUGUACUUACGGAAAAACAUGUCUCCUUCAAUUACUGUUUUGGGCUUUUGGCCAUUGCAGGAAACCAUGUUCAGACUAUAAAAUGAAGGAAAUAACUGCCAGUGGCAUAUUCAGAUCCAAGGGAGAAAAUGGAGCAUCAGAAGCUGAGGAUACUGAGCAGAACUCGGCGAACAAACAGGAUUAUGAACGUACCAGGUAUUUGUUUAAUGUUCUCCGGUUAACCUUAAUUUUAUUAUACAAUUCUAUAUUAUGAGUUUGGAAGAUUUAUUACCUACCUUAUGAUGGGUUGAAUUGUUAUUACUUAUUAGCAAGCAUUCGCGGGAAUCAGUCACAAUUCUUUUGGUGAAGAAGAAACAGUUUUUCCCGAGAAGCCAACUAGUCUGACUAAGUGGCAAAGCAGCGGGAGUUAAGUGGAAAUCCGGAAAGUGAGUCUGAGGCAAUGUUGAAGAAACAAAUUUCCGAUGGCAAGAGGAAGGAGCUCGGUGGACAUGAUAUUUUUGCCCCACGACCUGAAAUUCAAUCACUCACCUUGUCUGCCUGCGCUUUAGAUUCCCUGACUUUUAAUAAACAAUUCUUAUUCCUUCUUAACAUAGAUUAGGUCGAAAAUAUAUUGACUGUUAAAAUUCUAAUAAAAAAAAAAAAAUUUGUUUAUUUUGUUUAUUUUUUAUUUUUUUUAAACUUGCGGAGCUCCCUUGUUUUUGUAAAUAAUUUUAAAACUUCAAAAAUAAGUUACAAAUUUAUCGGAGGAAAAAUAGUACAACAAACAACUUUUAAAUAAAAUAAUUUUUGAAAUCAGAAUUUACAUUUCAGUAUUAAAUAUUUUCAAAAUAAAUAUUUUUAGAAAUUUUUCAGACAUUAAAUUUCAUUACAAAUUUAAACUUCAGGGUUAAAUAUUUUUGAAAUAAAUGUAGGUUAGGUAGACAUUAAAAGAAAACGGAAAGUGAAAUAGAAAAAGAGAGAACCAUAAAUGCGGUUCUCUAAAUUUAAAAUGUUGAAAAUGGAAAAUAGAGAACCACACAUGCGGUUUCUCUUUGAUAUUUUUGCAUUAGAAGAAAAUGGAAAAGAAAGAACCACACAUGCAAAUCUCUAUCGUAUUUUUCAAUUAAAGAAAAUGGAGAAGAAAGAACCACACAUGCGAAUCUCCGUCGUAUUUUUCAAUUAAAAGAAAAUGAAAGUAAAAUAAAAUUUUUAUUACCUGUGACGCUCCCUUGUUUUUAUAAAUAAAUUAAAUACUUUGGAAAUAAAUUAUUAGAAAUUUAUCGAACCAGAAAGUUUGUUGCGAGGUAGGGACGAAAAAUAUAAAUGGCUCAAUUCACCUAAGGAAGUUGGGAUGGGACCUGGGAGAUUAUUUCUCCUCAAGUUUAGUCCCUAACUCUAAAGAAAUUGAAACAGAAACUUUAUUAUCAAAGAUGCUUAGAAUAAUUGCAUGCGUUGCUUCUCCUAACGAAGCUGGAAUUGGAUCUAUAAGAUUAUUUGUCCCUAAACUUAGGCUCUGAAGUGAUUUUAGCUUUUUUCUAGCUCAGAGGGAAUUGAACCAUAAAGUUGAUUUUUGAAAAGGUGCAAAACUUGAAGCUGAUUCAAGUUUCAGACAGUCGGGGAUAUGGCAGCUAUAACGCAACAUACUUGUUUUCGGUGAUUAUCAUAUCUACCUGGAUUAAUUUUAUUUAUGUUACAUUUAUUGUUUCAUUAGUAUAAUUAUUUUCAUCGUGACUUAUAAUUAUCUAUUUUAUGGAGGAAUGUUCUUUGGACGCCCUAAACAACCAACGUGUCUAUUAAUUUAAGUUUAAUAAAUUUAUAGUUAUAGUAAGCUUAGAUUAAAUUAUACAAUAUAUCGUUUUUACCAUGCACUUUUAACUUGACUUACUUUUAGAUUGAGCCUAGACGCCAAGUUGAAAAUUUCUUUAUUAAUAAGUACAUUUGUGGGUAAAUUAAUUGAAAGAUAAUAAUUGAAUAAAAUGAUGAGAAUUUAGUAAGCUAAUGGAACCAAUUUAAGGCUUAAAUAAGUUAAUAGGAAUAAAUAAAAGAUCCCAAUAGUUAAUUGGUACACAUUAUACCUAAUUAGAUGUCAUUAAAUUUAGGAGUCAAGAUUUUUGCCUUAUUACACUUUCUUGGUAAAUUAAGUCGAUACUUUCUUCCCUGCCUAAUAUCGGACUGUUGGCCGCCAUUUGGGAUUUGAAUAGACUGCUUUCAAUAUGGUAUGAUUAUGAUUUACUUUGAAUAAUGGUUGACUUUGUGUUUACUGCAAUUUUGGAGGAAUAAUAUGAGUUGUGGUCUACUGAAAAUUUUCAUACAGACACGCAAGUGACAGUGGACAUAUACACACACACCCAUAUGCUUCAUUACGUUGUUCAUUACACCGGCCUUCUAUUUUGUUACUAAACAUUGUUCUUAGUUCGAUGGUUGUAAGAAAUUAAUUGAAUGUGUUAAUUUUAGAAAGAAAAGUAAUACAUCUUGCACCUUUCUUGCUCUCUUUCGUCCCCCACCCCCCUCUCACAUCCAUUGAUAACAUCUUAAAAGAAAAUAUUAUUUUUUAUCUUACAAAUUCUACCAGUUAGCACUUUGUUCGGCUUUAGCAGCUGUUUCAACUUCUAAAAUUAUAUAUGAGCUUUGGCAAGCUUGUUUACACAUAAAUUAUUGAUGGCAACCAUAACGAAUAAUUUACCUUAAAAGAAUAAGAAUGUAGAUUGACUUUUAAGACAAAUAUUGUUGAAAUUUUAAGUGAAUAUUAAUGACAAUCAAGUGAAUAUUAAUGACCUAGAAUGAUUGGCACGUAGACUUUGUGGGAGGCUAAGGACAUCUCCACUUGUCAUUCUAAAAGUAAAUUGCUAAAGAUUUCAAGCAAGUAAACCUCCCAUUAUUUUUAUGCAUACAUCAUGUGGUUAAAUGUAUAAACGUUUGCUUAAAUUGUUCUUACAUGAACAUGAUAUUUGAUCAUAACUUUUUAUUUCAUGAAUACUUCUCAUGACAUAUUUAUACAUAUCAGUGCAUUCAUAAGCAUACAUGAAGUUUCAUGAAAUAAAAAGAUUUCAAAUGUCAAUAAGUUGAGGAAUACUUCAAAAAGAUAUGUAUUUCGAAUGUGUUUAUUAUGAGGUGUAUGUCAAUGCCAUGAAAGGCGUGAGUGGGAAAUGGAGCGUGGGGGAUCGACGCACCCAACCAGUGUUCAAUGAUAAUGUUAAUACUAAUCGUUUUACGGUAUUAUAGGUAGGACGAAUUGAGUUUCAAAUGAUAAUUGCCCACUGCAUUCUCAUUGACUGGGCAAUACAUCAAGUGAGCUCACAUGUCAAUGUUAAUGUUUUUAAAGAAAUGAAUGAGAAAGGGGAUACAUAUUGAGAUACUUUCACUUUAUAAUAAUUCAUACGCAUAUCAUAAGCAUAUAUCAUAUGCAUGAUGUUUGCUUAUUGAGCGAUAGCCUAUUCCACGUUAUCCCUCCCCAUUUUCAAAUGAUAAAGACAAGAUAAUUCGGGACGACAACUUGAGGUGAGACAGACUCAAUACUAAUAUAGCCCUUAUUUGAGCCUCAUUCUUCUAAAAAUUCAUUUUUCCAAAACUCAUUUCCAACCACACAUUUUUCAACAAAAUAAUAUUACAUGUAAAUUAAUCCAAAACUUGUCCUUAAUUUUAACCACACAUUCUCCAUCAAUCUACUAUUCAAAAUGUAUUAUUUUCCUCCAAAUGGGGCUCAAACAAGGUCAUAAUUUAAAUAUUGAUUUCUUUUUGAAAUGAAGUUAAGUUUUAAUUAAUUGUCUUAUAUUUCAUUAAGUACAAAUUAUUUUCAUAAAUAAAGUUAUAGAUGUCAAUAACGUUAUAAAAAAUUAAAUUCGUCCUUUCGCAUUUAUGAUUUUAAGAAAAAAUUAAAUGAUAAUACUUCCAAAUUUAAGUAUCUAGAUUUGGAGGAGUUAUAGCACCUGUCAUCAAGUUAGUGUCCAUGUCAACUUGUACAAGAUUGAUGAAAUUUCCCAUUUUAACAGGUACCGAUCCAAAAUGCCGAUUGUUGAUUAGAUUUAUAUAAACAAGUCUUGGAGAGACGAGAAUGGAAAUUUACAGUGGGUGGCAUAAAUACUUGCAUUUGUGAGGUUUAGCUAUGAACACUUCCAUAGAUGCAAGAAACUUCAUACCAAUUGCAAGGAUUGGCAGUUGCUUUUGGAUGGCUUGAAAAAUUGGUGGAAUUAUGGGGCUCAAAAGUCCAUGAAUUUAGUAGUGAAUUGUAGGGAUUUUCAAAACUGGUUUUCCAUUUCAGUAGAGCAUUUGCUUCAACAGCAGAUCCAGAAGCAGGUUUAGGAUAAAUAAAGGAGAUAAUUUGUAACGAUACUACAAACUCGAUAUCAUCUAAACAACACAAUGAAUCAUAUAUCAAAGGAUAGAAAUCUUUCCACAUCUUAAAACAAUUUAAAGCCAAAAUAUUAUAAGUCAAAGGAAAAGUGUUUCCAUUUCAUAUGACUUUCUGCAAGGUAGUUUUGCCAUAUCCACUACUUCUAGUACAAAAUAACAAUAUUCAUAGUAAACAAUAAACAAGGAAAAGUUUGAUGCCUAAUUUUAUUGGAAAUAGCAGAAAUACAUCAAAGGAACAAAAAUACAUAAAAACAAUUGGCAUCAUUUGCAAACUUUCAAAAUUCAUGCUUUUAAGAAAUCACUGAGAUGGUGGUGGAUGCACUAAGCAUAUCAGAAACAACGUCCAUGGUUGGACGAAAUUGUGGAUUAGAGUGAAUGCAUUUAGUUGCAAGUUUAACAACGAACAUCAAAAUCUCCUCUUCUUCGAGGUUGGGAUAAAGAAUGCGCGGAUCCAAAAAAUCCUUAAACUGUAAUUCUCCAUGUCUGAGACUGUCACCAGGACGAUUUCCUUUGAUCACUUCCAAAGCCAACACUCCAAAGCUGUACACAUCACACUUUUCUGUCACUUUCAUUGUGUAAGCAAGCUCUGCCAAAACAUCAGUGAACAAAUACAAUUAAAAUCAUGUAUGAACAAUCCGUGGAUGAUAUAUAUGAAAAAAGAAAAAAUAUUACCCGGUGCAACAUAACCAUAUGUGCCUGCAAGAGCGCUCAAAUUCGAUGAGUCGCAUUUCAAAAACUUAGCAGUUCCAAAAUCUAAAAUAUGUGCCUCGUACUCUGUAUCAAGCAAAAUGUUGUUGCUUGAGAUAUCUCGAUGAACAAUUGGAGGAGAACAACUAUGAUGCAUGUAAGACAAAGCAUGAGCCACACCCUUCAAAAUAUUUACCCUUUUCGGCCAAUCCAAUGUCUUAGCUUCUUCAUCUAUACUUAGAGUUUUGGCAAGACUACCUCUGUCAAAGUAUUGAUAGACCAAAAACGAGUGUUGAGCAUUUGAGCAGAAACCAUAAAGUUUCACAAUGUUCCGGUGCUUGAUUCCUGUCAGUGCUCUUAUUUCGCUUAAAAACGCUCUACGAUUUGCCAUUUCAGACAAUGAAUGAAUUCUUUUCACUGCUACUAUAUCUUGUGAUGGAAGCUUCGCCUUGUAAACCCUUCCACAUCCACCCUCUCCAAUGCAAAAUGCUGCAUCAAAUUCUUUGGUGGCCUCUAAUAUGUCUUUAUACAUGACUACUCCAUCAAAAGAUGAUAUGAAAAGCAAAUCAUCUUCUACAUCUAUUGAAUUCCUCUUUCUGCGAUCAUACAUGAUCAGGAUGCCAACGAGUGCAAAUAGAAGUAGAGGUACCCCAAGAAGGGGAAUUGCAACUAUCAAAAUGAGUUUAAGACCGUUCCCUGUCUUGUGGUUUUCAACAGGAGGAGGAACUUUGCAUGGUUUCAAUCCUACAAUAUCACCGCACAACCCUUUAUUCCCUCGUAGUUUUUCUAUGGACACAUUCUGAAAGGGCUUGCCAUUAGGAAUUUGGCCCUCCAACUCAUUAUAGGAUAUAUCGAUGUCCACCGAGCCAGGCAAUUUUUGAAAACUCUUAGGAAUGAAUCCAGAGAGGUGAUUGUGAGAGAGGUUUAACAUUCCCAAGCUUGACAAAAAUCCUAUUUCAGAUGGUAUUUCUCCAGUAAGUGAAUUACUGCUCAUAUCCAAUGCAGACAAAUGAGUUAACUUACCAAUCUGAACAGGGAUUGUUUGGCUUAAAAAAUUGUAGCUCAAAUUCAAGUGAAACAACUGCUCAGAAUUUGGAAAAUUUUUAGGUAUUGGACCUGUCAGUCUGUUUCUCGAAAGGUCUAGGUAAUUUAAGCUUGACAAUGAUCCCAAUUCAUGAGGUAUAUCCCCAGAAAGCCGAUUGUCCUUCAGAUCAAUUUUCAGAAGUAAAAUUAACUUCCCAAUUUCCUUUGGAAUCCCCCCGCAUAACUGGUUUGAAGAAAGAUCGAGUAUUUUUAUUUGACUUAAAUUUCCAAAUUCUGGAGGAAUGCUCCCUGAAAGGUUGUUCUUCGCUAUUUUCAGUGUUUCUAGUUGUUUGCUACUACCCCAAUUGUCAGAGAGUUCACCAUAGAAUUUAUUGUCACUUAGAUCCAUGAACAUCAAAUUUGGAUAGACACCGAAUUCUUCCGACAGAUUCCCAGAAAACUGGUUGUGAUCAAAUCGGGCUCUGGUUAAACUGGAGCAAUUUUUCAAGCUUUCGGGGAUUGGACCCCAAAGUCUAUUGUUAUCUACAGUAAAAUUUUGUAUUAACCCACCACCACAUAACUCUGGCAAAUGACCAGAAAACUGAUUUUCAUCCAUUUCCAGGACGACAAGUUUCUUCAGUUUUCCUAGUUCACUUGGAAUGGGACCGGAAAGUUGGUUCUGACGAAGGAACAAAUAUUCUAAAUUGCUCAGGUCACCUAAUGAAGCAGGGAUGGAUCCAGUUAGAUUAUUUUCGCUCAAUUCUAGUUCACCGAGAGAUUUCAAAUUCCCCAACUCUGGUGGGAUAGGACCAGAAAGGUUAUUAGCGUAGAGGUGCAGAGUGGUUAGACCCGUAGCUUUGCCUAAAGAGGCUGGGAUCAAACCUGUGAGAUUAUUAUAGUUUAAACUCAGGGUUUCAAGUGACUUUAGCUUCCCCAACUCAGGAGGGAUCGAACCAGAAAGUUUAUUUUUGAAAAGAUUCAAAAUUUGCAGCUGAUUCAAGUUCCCUAGAGUGGGAGCUAUGGGCCCCGUCAGCAUGUUGGUGUCCAUGUCAACCUCUAGAAGAUUGGAGAGAUUUCCCAUUUCAGGGGGUAUAAAUCCAGAAAGAGAAUUAUUAUAAAGAUACAAAAAGGUCAAGUUUCUCAAAUUGCCAAAAGAAACAGGAAUUGGACCAUCAAGUUUGUUACUGUACAAUGCAAGCUCACUUAGAGACACUAGUUGUCCUAUUUCGGAAGGAAUCGAGCCAUUAAGUUGAUUUUCAACCAAAUGAAGAGUUCGAAGACCAGUUAUUCGGCCUAUUUCUGAUGGGAUGGUUCCUGUAAGCUGAUUUGUGGAUAUAUCAAGAUAGAUGAGUUUGGAGAGUUUACCUAUUUGAGGUGGAAUGGUGCCAAAAAGUCGGUUGAUGCAGAAAUCGAUAUAAGCAAGAUUUGGGAGAGACGAGAAUGGAAACUUAUAGAGGGUGGCAUAAAUAUUUGCAUUUGUGAGGUUCAGCUUGUUGACACUUCCGUCGAUGCUGCAAAUAACUCCAAACCAAUUGCAAGGACUACCUCUUGCUUUUGGAUGAGUCCACGAAGUUAGAAUGGAAUUGUUCUCAUUUUUGAAAGUGGCUUUCCAUUUCAGUAGAGCAUUUGCUUCUGCAAAAGAAGCAGAAGCAGGUUUAAGACAAACAAAGAAGAGAAAAGGCAGGAACAAGAAAAAUGUAAAAAUGGGGUACUUCAACAUGGUUAUUAAACUGGGAUUUAGUUUGUGCUUG
RNAcentral lists this long non-coding RNA (10173 nucleotides) under Olea europaea (common olive). RNAcentral's name for it is "long non-coding RNA (OEUR_LNC009702)". Lineage: Eukaryota; Viridiplantae; Streptophyta; Magnoliopsida; Lamiales; Oleaceae. The record is from RNAcentral.